UGGGGAAUAUUGCACAAUGGGCGCAAGCCUGAUGCAGCCAUGCCGCGUGUGUGAAGAAGGCCUUCGGGUUGUAAAGCACUUUCAGCGGGGAGGAAGGCGAUAAGGUUAAUAACCUUGUCGAUUGACGUUACCGACAGAAGAAGCACCGGCUAACUCCGUGCCAGCAGCCGCGGUAAUACGGAGGGUGCAAGCGUUAAUCGGAAUUACUGGGCGUAAAGCGCACGCAGGCGGUUGAUUGAGUCAGAUGUGAAAUCCCCGGGCUUAACCCGGGAAUUGCAUCUGCUACUGGUCAGCUAGAGUCUUGUAGAGGGGGGUAGAAUUCCAUGUGUAGCGGUGAAAUGCGUAGAGAUGUGGAGGAAUACCGGUGGCGAAGGCGGCCCCCUGGACAAAGACUGACGCUCAGGUGCGAAAGCGUGGGGAGCAAACAGG
RNAcentral lists this ribosomal RNA (429 nucleotides) under Chloroflexota bacterium. RNAcentral's name for it is "Chloroflexi bacterium partial 16S ribosomal RNA". It matches the Rfam family "Bacterial small subunit ribosomal RNA", at positions 355 to 776 of the family's 1533-position model. Lineage: Bacteria; Bacillati; Chloroflexota. The record is from RNAcentral.